RNAcentral lists this ribosomal RNA (254 nucleotides) under uncultured bacterium. RNAcentral's name for it is "partial 16S ribosomal RNA". It matches the Rfam family "Bacterial small subunit ribosomal RNA", at positions 524 to 776 of the family's 1533-position model. The record is from RNAcentral.
UACGGAAGGGGCGAGCGUUGUUCGGAAUCAUUGGGCGUAAAGGGCGUGUAGGUGGUUCUGUAUGUCUACCGUGAAAGCGUACGGCUCAACCGUAUUUAGUCGGUAGAAACUGCAGGACUUGAGGCUGGGAGGGGCUGGUGGAAUUCCCCGUGUAGCGGUGAAAUGCGUAGAGAUGGGGGAGGAACACCGAUGGCGAAGGCAAUCCCCUGGGCCUGCACUGACGCUCAUGCACGAAAGCGUGGGGAGCAAACAGG